This 167-nucleotide ribosomal RNA is filed under the name uncultured bacterium. RNAcentral describes it as "partial 16S rRNA". It matches the Rfam family "Bacterial small subunit ribosomal RNA", at positions 354 to 511 of the family's 1533-position model. The record is from RNAcentral.
GUAGGGAAUCUUCGGCAAUGGGGGGCAACCCUGACCGAGCAACGCCGCGUGAGUGAAGAAGGUUUUCGGAUCGUAAAGCUCUGUUGUAAGAGAAGAACGUGUGUGAGAGUGGAAAGUUCACACAGUGACGGUAACUUACCAGAAAGGGACGGCUAACUACGUGCCAA